Non-coding RNA from Acanthosepion pharaonis, 101 nucleotides. Lineage: Eukaryota; Metazoa; Mollusca; Cephalopoda; Sepiida; Sepiidae. The record is from the annotation of a GenBank genome assembly.
CGCUGCUAACAUCGUUUCUCGUUCGAUCCCCGAAGUUAAGCAGUGUCGAGCCUGACCAGUACUUAGAUGGGGGACCGCUUUGUAACACUGGGUGCUGUAAU